AACGAACGCUGGCGGCAGGCUUAACACAUGCAAGUCGAACGAGAUCUUCGGAUCUAGUGGCAGACGGGUGAGGAACACGUGGGAACAUCCCUUUCAGUUCGGAAUAACGUUGGGAAACUAACGCUAAUACCGCAUACGUCCUUCGGGAGAAAGAUUUAUCGCUAAAAGAUUGGCCCGCGUCUGAUUAGCUAGUUGGUGAGGUAAUGGCUCACCAAGGCUACGAUCAGUAGCUGAUCUGAGAGGAUGAUCAGCCACAUUGGGACUGAGACACGGCCCAAACUCCUACGGGAGGCAGCAGUGGGGAAUAUUGGACAAUGGGCGCAAGCCUGAUCCAGCCAUGCCGCGUGAGUGAUGAAGGCCUUCGGGUUGUAAAGCUCUUUUAUCCGGGAAGAUAAUGACUGUACCGGAAGAAUAAGCCCCGGCAAACUUCGUGCCAGCCGCCGCCGUAA
Molecule: ribosomal RNA, 449 nt
Filed under: uncultured bacterium
Lineage: Bacteria
Description: partial 16S ribosomal RNA
Rfam family: Bacterial small subunit ribosomal RNA
Source: RNAcentral